GGGCCCGUAGCUUAACGGAUAAAGCGCUCGGCUUCGGACCGAGAGAUUGGGGGUUCGAAUCCUCCCGGGCUCA
Molecule: transfer RNA, 73 nt
Rfam family: tRNA
About the family: Transfer RNA (tRNA) molecules are approximately 80 nucleotides in length.